Long non-coding RNA from Chloebia gouldiae (Gouldian finch), 947 nucleotides. The record is from Ensembl. Lineage: Eukaryota; Metazoa; Chordata; Aves; Passeriformes; Passeridae.
CGCAGGGUCACCCCGCCGUGCCGGGGGUCGCUCCGUGCUGCUGCUGCCGUGCGAGCGAGCAUCCGAGCGAUUCCCGGCGCGGCGGAGCCCGGCAGCCGGGAGAUGCCCGGCGGCACCGACGGGCCCCGCUUCCAGGCCAGGAACGGGAUGCCCACGCAGCGACCAGCCCCCCUCAGCUUGUGUAUCCCCGGGCUCUCUGCCCCCCACUCAAGAUGGGCGCCCUUGAAUUGUGUUGCCUCGUUGAAGUUUAAUAUUUGGGGGUAGGGAGGAGAGUUUCGGCUUCUGUUGUGGCGUCUUUUCUUUUCCUGGCUGUAAGUACUUCCAGAUGGGAUUUAGACCCCAGACGUAACAAUAUUUCCAUAUUUGGUAUAGCAGUAGCCCGCAUUUUUCACAUUUUUCUGCUCUGUUAUCCAACCACAAAGCAUUCUUGACAGCUUCAGAUGUUGUUAAAUAUAGCCUUAACUUCUGUUCCCAGGGCAGGAAAUUCUUUGGAAUUCCUGUUUUUCACGCAAUCUGUCUAUCAUGAUUUAGGAGAACUCUGCUGGAGGAGCCAACUGGCGUUCUGCUGCAGCUCGCUUCUUUAUUGAAAUAGCCCAGCAGUUGGGUCUGCUGCCCAAAGGCGUUACAAUGAGUCCCCAUUCCAAGGAUUUUUCUUUGCAAAUUAGAUUACUAUUCCCAACACAAGUUCGGGGUUUUUAUUGUCGCCUUCAAGGCUGGAAGCGGGACGGGCAGCCGGGGAGGGGAGGCAGCCGCAGCCCCGCCGCUCGGAGGAGCCGAGCCCGGUCGUCUCGUCGCCUGCCCGGUGCCACGGCCCAAAGGGUGACAGCAAGGACGGUGCGCAGGGCUCCGGUAAGUGCCGCUCCCGGGGCCGCGGGCCCGUGCGCUGUUCCCCGUGCAUUCCACACCAGCGGGAAUGAUGAGGCGCCUUGUGGGACCCUGCCGGGGCC